Penaeus chinensis is the source of this 608-nucleotide long non-coding RNA. RefSeq lists it as uncharacterized. The transcript has 3 exons. The record is from RefSeq and is a predicted model, not a curated record. NCBI's taxonomy places the organism in Eukaryota, Metazoa, Arthropoda, Malacostraca, Decapoda, Penaeidae.
GUUGUUGUGUUCGUCUGGUCGGCACUCGUUCGCGGAGCGCCUGGCCUCGCUCGACGCCUCCGUCAGGUGUAGUUGAGGCUACGAGAGACAGAAGUAUAUUUUCAUUGUUUAUAAGAGGGGCUACAGGGUCGUGACGAGCAGGAUGUGCAACCAUUCUAUAAAACAGCCACCCUGUUCGAAAGUCAUAUUCUGCAAGACCCGCGUUGCAGUCAUAUUGCAAAGUAGAGGAAAUAUCUUGAGGUUUCCGGCCGAUCACGAGAUCCCUCCAGCUCGUCCGCCGCCGCCAGCCAUGCAGGCCGCCGCGUCGUGGCCGGCCUUCACUUCGCCGGCCUUGGUUCCAGGGUGCUACUACAUCUUGCUACCGCGAUACUGAUGUGCUUCGCAAAUUUGCACUUCUGGGUGUUGCAUUGUAUCACAUAACUGUAAAAAAAAAAAAGAGAAGAAAAAUAGUUAUUUUGUCUUUAGCAGUGGCGAAUCUAGUAAGGACAAUAUUGAUAAUACUGAGGAAAACUUUAGAAUAUAAAAAAGUACAAUUUUUCUUUGUAGAUUACAGUCCCUCGCCAUGACUUUGAAUUUUACCAUAUUCGCUCCAAAAUGCUAUCUUUGCU